This is a long non-coding RNA of Nycticebus coucang (slow loris), 6352 nucleotides long. RefSeq lists it as uncharacterized. Lineage: Eukaryota; Metazoa; Chordata; Mammalia; Primates; Lorisidae. The transcript has 4 exons. The record is from RefSeq and is a predicted model, not a curated record.
GUGGGGCCUUGGUGGGCGUCACACUUUAUGGGGGCAAGACAUGAUUGCAAGAGGGACGGGGACUUUGCCUAACAAUUGCAAUCAGUGUAACCUGGCUUAUUGUACCCUCAAUGAAUCCCCAACAAUAAAAAAAAAAAAAAGAAAAAGAAAAAGAAAAUACUUUCUAAGAAUUUUCACAUCUGAAAAAAAAAAAAAGAAAGAAAGAAAGCUCUUCCUCCCGUGUAUGUAAGUGCCAGGGGAAGGAUGCCAUUUUGUUAAGUGUCCGGGCAAGGUCUGUGCAAGCAUCUUCCCUCAGGAAACAAGAUGGGAAUUAGGCUGUAAAGGAGAAGUAAGAUCUGAAUAGAUGGAAAGAGCCUUCCUUGCCUUCCAGGUAAGGGAAAUGAUGAACAUGAAGAGUCUGAGGUGGGCCAGGGAAAAGAACAUUCUGGCUGGAGAAGAGGGGGUGAUAUUGAAAGAGUGGCCUGGAGUGGGGCUGGGCUGGGUGACAUGGGGGUCUUUUGGUCUCCAUGGAAAAGGAUUGAUUUUGUGCCAGAACCUUUGCCUAAAGGGUCUCAAGGAUGUUGUGAAAUAAAUAUUUUUAGCCCCAUUUUAGAUGAGGAAACUAAGCCCCAGAGGGGAGACAUGACAUAUCCAAGUCACACAUUCUGAGGUGUAUAAUGCUAUCGUCAAUGCUCCUAAUAAUUAGGAGUCCUGAGUUGUUCAGUCCUUUGCGCUAAAGCACUAGCUUCCUGCAAGACAGGAGUGAGAAGGUGGCACAGGCCGCUCAGGCCAGUCUGGGUUUGACUUGUGAACACACACACACACACACACACACACACACACACACACACACACACACACACACCGGGGGCAGGCUCCCCCCACACAUGGCAGUUCCUCAGCUGUAUCUCCCAGUCUAAUUAGUGGCACAACUGUCAUUUAGUAGCCUUUUGCCUUUCACUUUAGCCCACGCUGUGCAAGGCUGCGUCUGUCUAUUCAGGAUUCUAUAGAAGUAUGGAAAGGGAAAAAGCAAUGAGAUGCUUGAAACGAAAUACCCCAUCGAGCUGACCACUAAAUAGCACUUAUACCCCAAGUAUACACACAGCUGCUUUAUGUAAUGAAAGCUGUGGACCAUGUUCUUGGAUAUAAAAUAACAAACCACAUAUAAAGUUUUACAUUGCUGUGUAAUUAGCACAGAUCUGUGAGUGUGUGAGCGCCUGCUGGAGGGGGGAGGAGGGCUGGGGACUCAGGCCCAGUGAGCCGUGGAGGGCAGAAGAUGGGAGUCUGGAUCUCUGGCCCACUGCUUUGUAGCCCUUUGACCUAGGACAAGUUAUGUAAAACCGAAAACUUCUAAUUUUGUACCUGUCAAAAGGAGUAUUAGUACCUGUCACAGUGGAAGAUUUUUUUCCCUUCUCCCUGCCCCCAGGGACACUUGACAAUGUCUGAAGAUAGUUUGGGUUGUCAAAAUGUGCUCUUGGCAUCUAGCUUACAAUGCACAGGACACCGCCUCUCCCCACUUCCACAACAAAGAGUUCUCCCACCUCAAAUGCCCACCCAGCCCAAAUUGAGAAGCUCUGCCCUGUGAGAUUGCUGUGUGGCGGUACAGUCACUGCUAACUUUUAUUGAGCAUUGCUGCAUGUCAGGCACCAUUGUCUCCCUUUAUUUAAGUAUGUCAACUCUUACCUGUUCAUAGUAAACCUUCUCUUACACAGCUUACUUUCUUGUUGAGAAGAAAAAGCAUAAACCAAUUAAACAACAACAACAACAACAAAAAAAAACAAAACAGAGGCAACUUAAGUGAUAGUCUGGUGAGUGAUGAGGAGUCUGCCCUGAGAAGACCUGUGUGAGGAGCAAUUACCCCCAGAGGGGACAGCUGGGCACAGGCUCGGAGGUAGGGAGGGAGCCACCUUGGGGAGUUCAAGAAAUAGGGACAAGUCCAGCUGAGGUCAACCUAGGUGAGGGAGGAAAUUGAAAGAGAUGACAUUACAGAUGAGAAGGGGCAGGUGAAGGAGCCCUGGGAGGUCCAGGUGAGGAGUUUGAAUUCCAGCUUUAUCAGGAAGCUGUAAGAGGGUUUUAAAGAAGAGUGGCACGAUCUGAUUUACAUUUGGAGAAGGUCGUUCUGACUUGAGUAUGGGGAGAUGGCAAGUGGGGAAUUCAGGGAGUAAUUCAGUAAGGACACUGAAUUACUGUGGGGAGUUGGCAGUUGUGGGGAGGAAUGAUGGUGUCUUAGCCCAGGGUGGCUAUGGAGGAAGAAAGUGAGCAGAUGUGGUUCACACAGAAUUAGAGCAAGUACGAUAUUGGGGGGUGAAAGGCAGAGAGGAAUGAAGGAUGGUGCUGAGGUUUGUGUCCUGAGCGACUGGCUCUGUUAAUGGAAAUAGGGAAGCUGAGGCAGGAGCGGAGGUUGGAGUGAGUGGAGGGGAGGUGUGGAGGGUCGGUUCCAGGUCAUAUUCAGCAUGACCUGCCUGCUAGGAUCCAAGUGGAGGUAUUAGGGGAGCAGUUUAUAAAUGAGCCUGGGGCUCAGGGGAGCCAGCAGGACUGGAGGGAUGAACUUAGUAUACACUUAGUAUCCAUUGCACAGAGAUGAUAUUUAAAGUCAAAGACCCAUGAGAGUGGGAAGAGAGAAUGAAUGAAUUGAAGAAGACGUGGGUCUAAGUCAGAAGUCAGGGGACUCACUCCUUUCAAGUUUGGAAGAGAAGCAUCCAUCCAUCAUGUCUCAUCAAAAGAGACAUUAGUAGGAGAAAAACCAGGGGAGAGAGGCGUCAAGACAGCCAAUAAAAUAACAACAACAACAAAAAAAAACCCAGAGAAGUAACUGUUAGAUUUGACCAGGAGAGGUUGACACGAGACAUUUUGGUGGAGUGUUAGGAACAGAAGCUCAAGUGAAAUGUGUUGAAGAUAAAGAGAGAGAUGAGGAAGUGGAGACAGCCACUACACGCAAUGUUCCCUAGGAGUUCUGUGGUAAAAGGUAAAGAAAUGGAGUGGAGUGGGAUCAUGGGGUCAAGGGAGAGACUAUUAAAAACAAAGGUCUUAUAGUGCAUUUGUGGGCGGAGAGUAAGGAGCUAGCCAAGGGUCGGGGGAGUUGCUGGAGAAGCUGUUGAGGAGUAUUAGGGUGGGAAGUGACCUGAGACUCCGGGCAGGAGAGGGGCUCAGCCUUGUUAGGACAUUUCAGCUGUGAUUGCAGGAGGGAAGGCAGCAGGCAGGCGUCAGGUGGGGAGAUAAAGCUGUUGUAAAUCAUUAUUUUCCCCUUUCUCAGAGAGAAAGAUUGCAGCCCUGACCACUGAUACAUACAAGCCUUAAUCCUGGCCCCAAACUGAGCUCUGUCCCACAGACUGAAGGUUUAAUUUUUGUUGAUAAGGGAGAUCCUGGCGAAGAGUAUGGAUGACUCAGUGUAACUGUCUCUACAGCCAAAAGGAAACCUUAAAGCAAAGUGAGGCCCAGCCACACCUGGACAGGCCCCCAGCUGAGGGCUGCCUUCACGACAGUGUCAAGGAGGGGAGUGCCCAGGACUUGUCUGAGGAGAGGCUGGUAAGACUAAACUCAGGUGGGGAGUGUCAUGACAGAAGAGAGCCAAGACCAGGAGGCUAUCAACAUGGACCAUCAGUUGGGCUUGAUUAGAAGGAAAGACCCAAGCCGAGGGAAUCAGAGGGCAAGUGAGUAUGGUGAAUGCAAUGCCAGGAGGCCAACCUGUCAGAGCACGGCAGGGUAGAGAAGAGUGGAGAAAGGAUCUGGAGGGGCCGUCAGAGCAACUGGAUUACUGACAGCAUUACAUGAGGUCAUGUAAAACACCCAACCCUGUGUCUGGCACUUAGUAAAGACUUGAGGAAAGGUGACUGAUAAAUUAGUAGUAGUAGCUGGAGAACCUCAACCCUACAGUGGAUGUGACUUCUGCAACCAGGACCUUCAUAGCCCCUGAGAUCCUGCUACCACCAGGACUGUCACCCAGCCCUCUCUCCCCUCUCACAAUCUAUAUCCACCUGAGAAUUCGCAGAUGCUGAAAUGUUCAAGAAUUCUACUAAGAAUGAAGAUGAUGUCAGCCAGGGGUUGCCCCACCCUUCCCCCUCCCCAAAGGCCAGCAGUUCCUCAUUGGCUUUGAACUUCAGAAGAGACCUGACCUAGAGCUCUGCUCCCCCCACCCCAGGGGCCCUGCCUCUUUAAAAGGCCCCUUCUCAUCUUCAUUCUGCUGCUUCUAUCCAUUACCCCUGAAUGGAAAUUGAAGCUUAAUUUUUCUCCCUUGAAGCCAUUAACACUUUGGGUCCUUGACAGGAAACACUGGCUCGGCUUUAAUUAGCCACAGCAAGCUCCCUAUGUGAGCUUCCAGCACAACCCAGGGACUUCAAAGAUAAAGGCUUCUCUAUUCUUGCUAAUCACAGCUAUUAAUGAGCCAAUUAAGGCCAACUGGGGCCAAGGCAGGCGGCUCUCUAAGGACCAGGCAAACAGCUCAGUCCCAGGAAGCUCCUCCCUGCACCCAGAUGGAAUCUGGUAUCCUGGGAGCAGAGAGACUGGUGUUUGGAGUCCCACCUGGGCUGAAACACCAGCUCUGCAGCUUAUCUGCUGAGAGCCAGGACUGAACAAAUGUCCUCUCAGAUGCUUUUCACAACCAGGGGUAAUAACACUAUUCUCAUGAAGAGCAAUUUUUUUUUUUUUUUUGCAGUUUUUGGCCAGGACUGGGUUUGAACCCGCUAUCUCCUGUAUAUGGGGCUGGCACCCCACUCCUUGAGCCACAGGUGCCACCCCAUGAGGAGCAAUUAUUAUAAUGUGAAUAUAGGUCACUUGAGGCCUCAUUAAAACUAUGUAUUGACUGGGCUCCAUCGUGAAUUUCUGACUCCAUUGUUCUGGGAGGAGUGGUGUGCAAGAAUUUGCGUUUCUAACUUGUCCCCAGAUGACACUGCUGUUGCUGGCUCGGAGAUCACACUUUGAGAAAUACCACUUGUGACUAUAUAGGGCUUGUACAAAUGUGAGUUAUUACUUGAAGAUUUUGAUUACAUUUCCAUCUAUAACUUCCCCUUUACUUCACCCAUGUCCCAUGUGAUUGUCCCCAGGAGCUUCUCAUCUCUGUCAAUAAUUGACAGCCCAGCAUUUGCCACUGUGUUGUUCCUUGACAGUGUAUGACACCCCAGGUGUGCUCAGUCCUAGGCAGAAUUUGGCAGGAACACUUACUUCUUUGCCUAACCUGGUACCAAGAUUCCCAGUCCCGACGCUGACAUCUCAAAUCUCCAGCAUCUUCUUUGAGAAGGGAAAUGGAUUGGGGUUUCCUGAUUCCAGAGAAAGUGAAGAGCGUGGGAUCUUUAGAUGUCUUCUCAACAAAUGAGCUGCAUUGUGGAGAUUCGGAAGAUGGAGAGGUGCAGAGAGGAAGACAUUCCAAGGACUUCUCAGAGUCUUGAAUAUGCUGCUGUGGACUGGGAAACUCAAGUGAGAUGCUUAACAAGCAGCAUUUUCCAGACUUACCUCACUGCAAUACAUAGGGGAGCUUGCUUUCAUAUGGAGGAGCUAGGCCUUGAAGGGCAAAAGACUUUAGAAAAGCUCCAGAGUCCAGGAGACUUCAGUCCCAAUUCUGAAACUUACGCCUCUUCAAGCCUGUCAAAUGGAGGUAGUGGACUUUACCUUGACAAAUUGUUGCAAGAUUUAUGUGAGAUGACAUGAGAACUGCUCAGCCCAAGAUGAGGUAUACAGUAGGGGCUCAAAAAAUGUGUAUUUUGUCACCCCCUCUUUUGCCUUUCCUGGUGGGAGUGUACAGUCUGAAUCAAGAAUAAACUAAGCACCCUGUAUAUGAGGCUGAAGCUGCACUCAAGUCCUCAGGGUUGGAGGAAGGAGAGCUCCUUUGCAACCAGAGUCAUCCAAGCAGGCUUCCUGGAGGAGGCGAGUAUUUGCUGGGUCAGAUUCUGAUGUUCAGUUCUCCUUCACAAUCUACAGGCAGGGAAGGGGCAGGCUUUAAGAUGUGCAUCUCUCCCUGAGCAAGCUACAGCAAGAAUCCUUCUCUUUAUUUUCCUUUUCCACCCUGGAGGCCCAUUUCCCCACCAAAUCAAGCCAACGCAGCACUUGCCUUCUCCUCCCACGGCCAGAACUUGGCCAACAUCUCAAGUUCUCGAGGUGUGAGCCUCAGAAUGGGGCCCUCCUGGCUUGUGGAAAUUCACUCUGAGCCUCUCUGGCUGCCUGCAGAAGGCCUGUUGUACUGAGCUCUCAGUAAGCUCUGGGCAACGGGUCACCAGGACCCAAACAAUCUGGGGUGCUGGCCUGGACUCUGCCCUCCCCAGCCCUGGCCACGGGGCAGGGAGAAGAGACAGUUCCAUAGAUUUCCUCCCCUGGACUCUUCAUCAUCUCCAGCUCCCUGCCCCCCACCAACCAAUCGUUUCAAUAAACCCCACUUUGAACUGGG